AACGAACGCUGGCGGCAUGCCUAACACAUGCAAGUCGAACGAGACCUUCGGGUCUAGUGGCGCACGGGUGCGUAACACGUGGGAAUCUGCCCUUUGCUUCGGAAUAACAGUUAGAAAUGACUGCUAAUACCGGAUGAUGUCGAAAGACCAAAGAUUUAUCGGCAAAGGAUGAGCCCGCGUAGGAUUAGGUAGUUGGUGGGGUAAAGGCCUACCAAGCCGACGAUCCUUAGCUGGUCUGAGAGGAUGAUCAGCCACGCUGGGACUGAGACACGGCCCAGACUCCUACGGGAAGCAGCAGUGGGGAAUAUUGGACAAUGGGCGAAAGCCUGAUCCAGCAAUGCCGCGUGAGUGAUGAAGGCCUUAGGGUUGUAAAGCUCUUUUACCAGGGAUGAUAAUGACAGUACCUGGAGAAUAAGCUCCGGCUAACUCCGUG
RNAcentral lists this ribosomal RNA (433 nucleotides) under uncultured bacterium. Its description in RNAcentral is "partial 16S ribosomal RNA". It matches the Rfam family "Bacterial small subunit ribosomal RNA", at positions 29 to 507 of the family's 1533-position model. The record is from RNAcentral.